AUACGGAGGGUGCAAGCGUUGCUCGGAAUCACUGGGCGUAAAGCGAACGCAGGCGGCCCGGCAAGUCGGGUGUGAAAGCCCGGGGCUCAACCCCGGAAUUGCACUCGAAACUGCCGGCCUUGAGUACGGGAGAGGGAAGCGGAUUUCCUAGUGUAGAGGUGAAAUUCGUAGAUAUUAGGAGGAACACCCGUGGCGAAAGCGGCUUCCUGGCCCGAUACUGACGCUCAUGUUCGAAAGCGUGGGGAGCAAACAGGAUUAGAAACCCAAGUAGUCC
Molecule: ribosomal RNA, 274 nt
Filed under: uncultured bacterium
Lineage: Bacteria
Description: partial 16S ribosomal RNA
Rfam family: Bacterial small subunit ribosomal RNA
Source: RNAcentral